This 413-nucleotide ribosomal RNA is filed under the name uncultured bacterium. RNAcentral's name for it is "bacterial SSU rRNA". It matches the Rfam family "Bacterial small subunit ribosomal RNA", at positions 917 to 1333 of the family's 1533-position model. The record is from RNAcentral.
GGGCCCGCACAAGCGGUGGAGCAUGUGGUUUAAUUCGAUGAUACGCGAGGAACCUUACCAGGGCUUAAAUGUAAGUUGCAUAAGUUAGAGAUAGCUUUUUCUUCGGACUACUUACAAGGUGCUGCAUGGUUGUCGUCAGCUCGUGCCGUGAGGUGUCAGGUUAAGUCCUAUAACGAGCGCAACCCCUGUUGUUAGUUGCCAUCGAGUAAUGUCGGGAACUCUAACAAGACUGCCGGUGCAAACCGUGAGGAAGGUGGGGAUGACGUCAAAUCAUCACGGCCCUUACGUCCUGGGCUACACACGUGCUACAAUGGUCGGUACAGAGAGCAGCCACUACGCGAGUAGGAGCGAAUCUUCAAAGCCGAUCACAGUUCGGAUCGGAGUCUGCAACUCGACUCCGUGAAGCUGGAAUC